GCAACGCCGCGUGAGUGAUGAAGGUUUUCGGAUCGUAAAGCUCUGUUGUUAGGGAAGAACAAGUGCCGUUCAAAUAGGGCGGCACCUUGACGGUACCUAACCAGAAAGCCACGGCUAACUACGUGCCAGCAGCCGCGGUAAUACGUAGGUGGCAAGCGUUGUCCGGAAUUAUUGGGCGUAAAGGGCUCGCAGGCGGUUUCUUAAGUCUGAUGUGAAAGCCCCCGGCUCAACCGGGGAGGGUCAUUGGAAACUGGGGAACUUGAGUGCAGAAGAGGAGAGUGGAAUUCCACGUGUAGCGGUGAAAUGCGUAGAGAUGUGGAGGAACACCAGUGGCGAAGGCGACUCUCUGGUCUGUAACUGACGCUGAGGAGCGAAAGCGUGGGGAGCGAACAGGAUUAGAUACCCUGGUAGUCCACGCCGUAAACGAUGAGUGCUAAGUGUUAGGGGGUUUCCGCCCCUUAGUGCUGCAGCUAACGCAUUAAGCACUCCGCCUGGGGAGUACGGUCGCAAGACUGAAACUCAAAGGAAUUGACGGGGGCCCGCACAAGCGGUGGAGCAUGUGGUUUAAUUCGAAGCAACGCGAAGAACCUUACCAGGUCUUGACAUCCUCUGACAAUCCUAGAGAUAGGACG
RNAcentral lists this ribosomal RNA (632 nucleotides) under Bacillus velezensis. Its description in RNAcentral is "bacterial SSU rRNA". It matches the Rfam family "Bacterial small subunit ribosomal RNA", at positions 391 to 1013 of the family's 1533-position model. RNAcentral also lists the same sequence under 1 other name. The record is from RNAcentral. Lineage: Bacteria; Bacillati; Bacillota; Bacilli; Caryophanales; Bacillaceae.